UCUUCAGGUGUGAUAGGACCGGUUGGGUUCCUGCUGGUAACAGGGAGUAGUAGCUGCAUGGAUUGUGAUAGCAUUUGAUCCUUUUUUUGUGUGUUUAGGUGAGUAAUGGUCCAGAUGAUAGGGUGUGAUCGUGUAAUUUUCUGUCAUGCAACACGUUUGUAUUGGCUACCGUAUAACACAAUUAUUUUCGUGUACAGGAGAAAAAGCAAAGCAAUGGAAGUAAUCCUGUUGUAUCCCGCCUGCUGUACUGGUGGAACUGUGGAGCUCACUAGGACUGGGAACUGAGAGAAGGCGGAGAUAGGUGCAUUGCACAAGCUUGAGUUUGUUGUGCGGUUGUCAGGCACGAUGGAAGGUUUGGUUCCUGAUAAUAGAUUGAUCAGUUCAGGGAUCAGUUGAAAGAGGGAGCUGUUUACACUAUUGAGCGAUUUGAUUUGUACAAUCAUAAGAAGAGAUAUAGGUCGGUCGAUCAUCCUUUGAAGAUCUUCUUUACUCGAAGGACUCUUCUGACAGAAGUGGUGCCUCCGCCAGAGUUUUCCUGUAUUUGCGUAUACUGCUCUCCCAUUUUAGUAUGCUGUCAGAGUGCAUCGAUCAGAAUACAGUGUUAUCUGGUGAGAAUGUGGAUAUUUCCAUCAUUGUUUCAUUCUUGUGUGCCCCAUAUUGCCUAUAAAGUUUGGUUUGUGUCGUGGUAAUUUACUUGAUCUAUAUGUAUUUAUAGAUGUCGUUGGUUUGGUGAACAAGGUCGCUAAUGUAUUACCUCCUUAUGGGAAUGCUAGGAGCUAGAAGCGGCAGGUGUACAUCACAGAUGGAAGGUGCAUACGGCAGCUUUUUUUAAAAUAAAUACUUGCCUCUUAAUUGUUAUCUGACUUACUUAUGUUGUUUCAUGGAGCAGUCAUGUUGUUGUUACCUUGUGGGGGGAGCAAGCUGAUUUAUUUGAUGCUGGUGGAUUGAUGGAGGCAUGACAGUUAGUUAGUACUCAGCGACAAACCUCUUGUGGUGUCAAGGAAUGGUUGCCGAUGACAAUUCUUUUUUG
Molecule: non-coding RNA, 1030 nt
Organism: Lolium perenne
Lineage: Eukaryota; Viridiplantae; Streptophyta; Magnoliopsida; Poales; Poaceae
Source: RefSeq, a predicted model, not a curated record